UCUGGUUGAUCCUGCCAGUAGUCAUAUGCUUGUCUCAAAGAUUAAGCCAUGCAUGUCUAAGUAUAAAUAGUAUACAGUGAAACUGCGAAUGGCUCAUUAAAACAGUUAUAGUUUAUUUGAUAAUUGACAAUUACAUGGAUAACCGUGGUAAUUCUAGAGCUAAUACAUGCUUAAACGCCCGACUUUAUGGAAGGGUGGUAUUUAUUAGACUGAAGCCAAUAUUCUUUGUGUCUAUUGCGGUGAUUCAUAAUAACUGAUCGAAUCUCUUUUUGAGAUAAAUCAUUCAAGUUUCUGCCCUAUCAGCUUUCGAUGGUAGUGUAUUGGACUACCAUGGCAGUAACGGGUAACGAAGAAUUAGGGUUCGAUUUCGGAGAGGGAGCAUGAGAAACGGCUACCACAUCUAAGGAAGGCAGCAGGCGCGUAAAUUACCCAAUCCUGACUCAGGGAGGUAGUGACAAGAAAUAGCAAACCGGGAACCUCAUGGUUUCACGGUAUUGCAAUGAGAACAAUUUAAAACCCUUAGCGAGAAUCAAGUGGAGGACAAGUCUGGUGCCAGCACCCGCGGUAGUUCCAGCUCCACUAGCGUAUAUUAAAGUUGUUGCAGUUAAAAAGCUCGUAGUUGAACCUCUGUCUGGGGCUAGUUUUGGCUUUGGUCAGGCUAGUUCUAGGCAUCCGCCUACAAGACUUAGAGGGCAUUUAGUUGUUCACUAGGAGGAGUAGGCAUUUUACUUUGAAAAAAUUAGAGUGUUUAAGGCAGGCAAUCGCCCGCAUAUAUUAGCAUGGAAUAAUAGAAUAGGACACUUUUCCAUUUCGUUGGUUAUUGGAAUCGUGUAAUGAUUAAUAGGGACAGUUGUGGGCAUUUGUAUUUAAUUGUCAGAGGUGAAAUUCUUGGAUUUAUUAAAGACAAACUAACGCGAAAGCAUUUGCCAAGGAUGUUUUCAUUAAUCAAGAACGAAAGUUAGGGGAUCAAAGACGAUCAGAUACCGUCCUAGUCUUAACUAUAAACUAUUCCGACUCAAUGUUUGACUGGCUUAUAUAACCAGUUGAGCGUUGUAUGAGAAAUCAAAGUCUUUAGGUUCUGGGGGGAGUAUGGUUGCAAAGCUGAAACUUAAAGGAAUUGACGGAAGAGCUCAACCAGGAGUGGAUUCUGCGGCUUAAUUUGACUCAACACGGGGAAACUUACCAGGUUAAAACAAUAGUGGGAUUGACAGUUUGAGAGCGCUUUCUUGAUUGGUUGGGUGGUGGUGCAUGGCCGUUCUUAGUUGGUGGAGUGAUUUGUCUGCUUAAUUGCGUUAACGAACGAGACCUUAACCU
This 1314-nucleotide ribosomal RNA is filed under the name metagenome. Its description in RNAcentral is "SSU rRNA". It matches the Rfam family "Eukaryotic small subunit ribosomal RNA", at positions 1 to 1349 of the family's 1831-position model. The record is from RNAcentral.